GUAGGGAACUCGAAAGGGACCGACCCUUCGGGGAGCCUAGUACAGGGUGUUGCAUGGCUGUCGUCAGCUCGUGUCGUGAGAUGUCGGUUAAGUCCGCUAACGAGCGCAACCCUCGUCGUAUGUUAUAUGUGUCAUACGAGACUGCCGGUAAAAGCCGGAGGAAGGUGAGGAUGAUGUCAAGUCAGCAUGACCUUUAUAUCCAGGGCUACACACACGCUACAAUGGUCUGUACAAUGGGUAGCCAAGCCGCGAGGCGGAGCCAAUCCUGAAAGCAGGCCUCAGUUCAGAUUGCAGUCUGCAACUCGACUGCAUGAAGCCGGAGUUGCUAGUAACCGCAGGUCAGCAAUACUGCGGUGAAUACGUUCCCGGGUCUU
RNAcentral lists this ribosomal RNA (374 nucleotides) under uncultured Anaerolineaceae bacterium. Its description in RNAcentral is "bacterial SSU rRNA". It matches the Rfam family "Bacterial small subunit ribosomal RNA", at positions 992 to 1382 of the family's 1533-position model. The record is from RNAcentral. Lineage: Bacteria; Bacillati; Chloroflexota; Anaerolineae; Anaerolineales; Anaerolineaceae.